RNAcentral lists this unclassified non-coding RNA (261 nucleotides) under Hevea brasiliensis (rubber tree). The record is from RNAcentral. Lineage: Eukaryota; Viridiplantae; Streptophyta; Magnoliopsida; Malpighiales; Euphorbiaceae.
AUGAAGCCAUGUAGUAUUUCUGCACAUGGGCAUACUGAUAGUAAGUUGACAAAUCUUUUAAUAACAGUUAGCCAAAUUAUCAGAUUGUCCUUAAAUUAGAAGUUGAAGUCCUAAAUCAUAACUAGUUAGAUACAAUAGCUCUUCUCUGAUGACCAAGUGGAAAUAAACUUCACAAAUUAUGAUUGAAACGGUCCAAGCAGUAUGGACACAAAUAAUGUGAUGCAGUUAAGGAAAACAAGAUUUAGGAAUUAUUUUGAUUUA